CCUACGGGUGGCAGCAGUGGGGAAUAUUGGACAAUGGGGGGAACCCUGAUCCAGCCAUGCCGCGUGUGUGAAGAAGGCCCUCGGGUUGUAAAGCACUUUCAGUGAGGAAGAACGCCUGGUGGUUAAUACCCAUCAGGAAAGACAUCACUCACAGAGGAAGCACCGGCUAACUCCGUGCCAGCAGCCGCGGUAAUACGGAGGGUGCGAGCGUUAAUCGGAAUUACUGGGCGUAAAGCGCGCGUAGGUGGCUUGAUAAGCCGGUUGUGAAAGCCCCGGGCUCAACCUGGGAACGGCAUCCGGAACUGUCAAGCUAGAGUGCAGGAGAGGAAGGUAGAAUUCCCGGUGUAGCGGUGAAAUGCGUAGAGAUCGGGAGGAAUACCAGUGGCGAAGGCGGCCUUCUGGACUGACACUGACACUGAGGUGCGAAAGCGUGGGUAGCAAACAGGAUUAGAUACCCGUGUAGUC
This 465-nucleotide ribosomal RNA is filed under the name Vreelandella stevensii. RNAcentral describes it as "partial 16S ribosomal RNA". It matches the Rfam family "Bacterial small subunit ribosomal RNA", at positions 338 to 795 of the family's 1533-position model. Lineage: Bacteria; Pseudomonadati; Pseudomonadota; Gammaproteobacteria; Oceanospirillales; Halomonadaceae. The record is from RNAcentral.